UUAUGACAUAAGUAUUUACUAAUUUAUCAUAAUAAUAUAAAAAUAGUUUCUUUUUUAACAUAUCUCGAUAUAUAAAUGCAUCUAGUUUGUUAAGUUGUUAUUUAUAAAACAACUAAAAUAUGGCAACUAAUUCUGUGUAUUCCUCAAUUAACAAGUUUAGGAUAUCAAGAAGAGGAAGAAAGUUACAAACUUCGGAUGAUCAAAGGACGCUAGCCGCACUGCCAAAGGAUGUUCCUGAAAGAACAUGGGCGGAAAUACUCCAAAAGGAAGAAAACGACUUGGUAAUCUUUGACAUCCGUGAAGAAAUUAUUGAAGAGGCACUGAGAAUUGGUUAUGAUCACUACAUGGAGAGGCAAACUGUGUUUUUCACCGCGCACUGUGCAGCUCAAGCGUGGCUCAAGUUGAUUGAUUGGAAUUUCUAUCGACACGACCCUGGCGAAGACCCAAGUGCAUAUCCACCCUGUAAUAUCCCAAAACGAGUGGAGUCGUGGAUACCUGAUGAGCUACCAGACCCGUCACCAAAAGACACCUGGUGUCGCAACGAUCUGAAUAUAGUGGAGGACACCUCAGAAGAAGUGCUGGAGAAAUGGCCAAGUAAUCAUUCACUAGAUGUCCCAGUUGUCGAAGAGAUUCCAUCAGAAUACUGGUUUCCAGGGAAAAUUAACGUGCCCGAAGAAUUUAGAAGAACUCGUGAGAAGAAUGCUAAUAUUUUUGAUGUCGACUCGAGCGUGAUUCCGUCAACGUCGACCGGUGAGAAUCUAGCAGCUGAAAGCGAGGUGUUGCAGAAAGUCACUGACUACAGCAUGGAGGAAUUAACGCAGAAGGAAUCUGCCUUUAGCGCCUUGAAGACUAUAACGCCCGUAGAUGGUUCGUUGCACGGCGCUGGCGAUUCUGCGGUGGACCGGCUGAAGCCCAAGAGAAGGCAGUCGGAGAAGAGCAAAGUGUUUAAUAGAGGCAGUUUGCUUGGAAGAUCAAAAAAUGCGCUGCCUCCGCUGGACAUCGGUGAUUCGAGGUCACGCAUCAGUGUCAUCUCGGAUUGUCGUUUGAGAAAUCUAAGAGGGUAACAUCAGAGUCGUGAGGGAAGGGAUUAUUAGUAAUGGGGCUGCCAGAGGAAGACGCCGCUCACUUCAGUCCUGUCGUGAGCAUGACGUGGUGCAAUUUACGUCAAAACGUCGGCAAUAAAGAAACAGAUUAGACAUGCAAUACGAGGUGUCGUCGGAGAAAAUUGAUACACCACCCGGUGAACAUGGGAAACGAAAUUAAUUUGUAAAAUUAUAGAAAUAACACAAAUUCUUGUAUUAAAAUUUCAGUCACU
Galleria mellonella (greater wax moth) is the source of this 1315-nucleotide RNA transcript. RefSeq lists it as uncharacterized. NCBI's taxonomy places the organism in Eukaryota, Metazoa, Arthropoda, Insecta, Lepidoptera, Pyralidae. The record is from RefSeq and is a predicted model, not a curated record. The transcript is spliced from 9 exons.